RNAcentral lists this transfer RNA (75 nucleotides) under Actinobacteria bacterium IMCC25003. RNAcentral describes it as "tRNA-Gln". It matches the Rfam family "tRNA". Rfam says of the family: Transfer RNA (tRNA) molecules are approximately 80 nucleotides in length. Their secondary structure includes four short double-helical elements and three loops (D, anti-codon, and T loops). RNAcentral also lists the same sequence under 6 other names. Lineage: Bacteria; Bacillati; Actinomycetota. The record is from RNAcentral.
UCCGCCAUUGUGUAGUGGCUAGCACAUGGGCCUUUGAAGCCCAGGGUCCAGGAUCGAUACCUGGUGGCGGAGCAA